CAACAAAACAUGUUUUAGUACAAUUGUAUUUAUGUACUAUGUUAAUAUAUUAGUAUUUACUUUUUAUCGGACAGGCAGUUCAAUGUAUGAUUAUCAUAUUUUAAGAAAGUAUCGUUUGCCAUUAUUUGAGGUAAUAUGUAUAUAAUUGUUAACAUUGUUAUUGCAUUUAUCCAAAAAAUCGGCAGCUAUAAGGAGCAUACAUUUUUUUACUAUUUAUAACGCAGCAAGCAUGAACAAAUAAAAACCAUGCAAACGUUAUAUUACUUGUAUCGUCCAAAGUAAUAAUUAUAUAAGGUAUAAAUGCAAUUUUUUACGAAUUUGAAGGCAAAGUGAAUUCCUUUCUACAAGAAUGAUAAACGCUUGAUUUGAUAAGAGAUAGGGCAGAUUUUUGAAAUGAUGUUAGCUGGGCAAUAAUUGAUGAUAAUUAAAACAGGAAUCUAGUCGAAAAAUGAUAGAUAACAAAUCUUAAAAAAAAAAAAAAAUGACAAAAAAGUUUGGUUAGUUGUUUUAAAUUCUCCAGAAAUUGCAUAAAAUCAUUUACAACUGACAUAAGGUACAAAAACAAUCAAGGAAUUUAUAGUAAAAAUGUGGUGUCCAAUUUAGGAUUUCUAUAUCAUCCAUUUAUCUUAUCUUUUACAAUGUUAACACUAAAUUUUCUAGAUUAGCCAUGUAUCUUUAACAUGUUAAAUGACAAUACCAAACAUUGAAAACAAACAAGUCCCAAAUCUUAACUUCAUAUAUCUGGGGAUAUUUUUUUUACACACUGAAGUAUCCAAGUACACUCUGAGGGUACCAAAGGGUAUUAAAAUAUCCAUCUACGAAUAUGAAUGUAUAUAACAAAUCCAUCCCGGUAUUGGACCAAAUUAAGCGAUUUUAGAGUGUAACUUGAAAUUAAAUUAAACCUCUUUUUCAUUAUCUAAAAAUUUUUUCUUUCAAUUUUGGCAUUUGACUUAUUUUUAACGAAAUCUUGGAUACUACCUGUGGUAGAACCCUACAAUUAGUCAAAUAUAAGACUUUUUUUAACCAAAGAAAAAGAAACUAGAAUAAGUCAAAGGCGCUCAAUGUUGUUAGAGUGAUGUUUUACGAUUGUUUCCUGUACUUUUUUAUCAUAUGUACAAAAUGGGUAUAGAUAACCUUAAAAAAGAUUGAGAAUGGAAAUGAGAAUGUGUCAAAGAGACAAGUUUUCUCUUGAUUUCAACUAAAUUUUUAUAAUAACUGUUAUCUCAUAAACAUAUACAUGGAUAUAUAUAGAGAGAAUGUUUAAUUCUAAAACAGAUGCAGAUACCUGCGAUUUAUAAAAUAUAUUGCAGUGUGUAAUUUAAUGAUUUUCCUUUUAUAAAAAAAAGAUAUUUUCAUAUUAUAAUCAUUUUCGCUGUGAAUGCAGUUUACGUACACAGAGAUCCACAAAAACGGCAUUCAUUUUCAAUGAAAUAUGUAGUUCGAAUCAUUCGGUCAAAUAACGUAUCAACUACGAAAGGUACAGUUCAUCAAGUUCCUAAAUGUGCGUUUGAUGUAUAGGUUAUAUGAAAUAGUAAUGAAAUUGAAAAUAGAUUUUCUCCAAACUUGACACACAAAUAUGAAGAAUGCUGCUGUUAUUUAAUUUCAAUCAUAACAAAACAAUAGUAUAUAGAUUACUCGAUUAUCUAAACAUUUCAGAAUACUUAUGUUGUCUAGUUAUAAGAAGGAUAUUCCGACAGGGGUUGCAAAUAAAAUUUUUAAGCAAAUCAAAUCUAAGUUGUAUUUCAACAGAAGCCAGGCAAAAUAAGCAAAACAAUUUUCGUAUUAUGGUUCAAAUGUUUGAAUUGUUUAAUUGUCAAAAUAUGCAAGAGAUAACUGUCAUGACAAAAUAACAAAAAUCGGGGAUUAAAGCUACUUCUUUUAUAAAUGUACUUGCCGACAAAGAAGCACUUCCCAGAUAAUCAUGUAUAACGUUUUCCUGCAAACAAAUAUAAUAAUGAUAAGAUACAAAGUGAAUGUUUAAAACGCAGGAUUUCAAAGAUCAUACGACAUUGAAUCAAUCUCAUCAGGAACAUUUGAGAUCAAGACGUUAAGAAAACAUCACAAACUAUAUCAAAUCAACUUUUUCCGAGUUUGGUACAACCUUAUCCUUAAAGGAACCUACUUUUAUAACCUUGACAAGUACAGACAAUACGUAAUCAGAAGCAAUUGUUAAUGGGAUAUAAUUAAUAGGAGGGGGUUGUUCAAAAUGUCUGAAAUGACUUCAACAUGUUCAAUACGAAUAUGCACUAGACUUCACUAUUUUUUAAAGGUCAAACUAGCCUUCUUCUAUUGGAACUAUAGAAAUGGUCAAAUUCGUUGAUAACCAGUGUUCUUUUAAUCAAUAACAGCAGUAUUGUUUAGGAGAAAACUAUAUGCCUUUGUGGAUUAUUUGUGUACAUUGCUUACAGUGAUGUUUGAUUCCAUCAGAAAGUGUCUGUAGUUCUAUUUUGUUAUGAAAUUAAUAUACCAGAAACGCCUACCUGCUUUGUCUCUUUAUUGGAAAUGCAAUUUUUGAAAGAGUAUAGACAAUUUGUUACCUUUAUACAAUUUAAUGUUAUAUUGUAUUUGAUUUUAAAUCACUUUGUUUAUGAAAUGGAGAUUAACUUGAAAGAAAAUUCUAUCUGAUUUCACAGAACUCUAAACUUUAAACAUGCUUAAGAAAGAAGAAUAUUAAAUAACAUACGGUUGAUAAAUGUCUCGCAUUUUGAGAACACAACACAAUUAAUUCUCUUGAUUGAUCCUGUGAUAAGAUGCACGGGUGAUGUAUUAAACAUUUAUUUCUAACGUAUUAUUUGAGGUUGAUUGACAGUUAAAGAAAUUCAAAUUAGUUGAAUUAUUACUAAAUUCAUUUUUAAAUCACUCUUUGAACCCUUAUGGAUAUUGCUCAAACCUCAUUAUAUCAUGUUUAAUAUUUGUUUUCUAUUGUAUAUCUGAGAGUAAACAUUGUUUUUAACAUACUGUUUCUCACUCUUAACAAACAGUUGUUUGAUCAUGUUGUUUUUAUGGUGUAAUGUGUGUAAUUGUUUAGAGGUAUAAGGGUGGGUUUAAAUCUCACAAAAUAUGUUUCAUUCAACCGCAUGUUUACGCCUGUCCCAAGUCCCAAUCUCUAGCCUUGUUAUUCUUUUUAGUCUUGUAUGGUUUUUUUUUAAUUUGAUUUAUUUAUAUGUUUCGGGGUAAAAUGUGACGUUUGCAUUCACUGGAAACGUCUACAUUUUUGUUUUAGGGCCAGCUCGGAGAGUCAUGAUUUUCUCGCUGUGUAGCAAACUCAUCGGGGCUAUAGGCUGUUUUAUGCUUAAUUGUAUGUAGGUUUGAACCAUUUUCAAUUUUAAACGGUAGACUUUUUGUAUAUAUGUAUCAUUUGCACAUCCUAAAUGUUCCAAUCCAACAUGCAGUUUAUUGAGAACGAUUUCUUUGAAAAUACCUCAUUCACCAAAAAUACCAUGCAUAUCAAUUAGUUUUUAAUGUAAUGGAAAAGAGAAAAAAAAUCUAUAGCUUCUUACAGUAUCUUUGCUUAAGGAUUAAUUUUCAUACUCAUUUACUUUAUUUUUAACUCACAUUAACAAACCCUUUUUGUUUUAUCUUCGUUUAAUAAAAGUACUGAACAAAAAAUCAAAUACUGCAAUGCAAUGUCAAUUGAACGAUUGAUGUUUUCUUUAUAAAUGAAAUGCAAUGUGAUUUAGUUCGCUAAUUAAUGUAUGAUUAAAAUUGAGAAUGGAAAUUGGGCAUGUGUCAAAGAGACAACAACCCGACCAUAGAGCUCAAUAAUGGGUCUUCAAUGAAGCGAGAAAAUCCCGUACCCGGAGGCGUCCUUCAGCAGUCACAUAAAUAAAAUAUCUAUACUAGUUCAGUGAUAAUGGACGUCAUUCUUAACUCCGAAUUAUAAACAAGAUACUUAAAUUAAAAAUCAUACAAGACUAACAAAGGCUAGAGGCUCCUUUUAGUUUCAUCGUUUUAAUUUGUAUCACUUCAAGGUCAUUAUCUAUUAAUGUUAAACUGUUAAAACUAUUAAAAUGGCGCUUAAUUGACUCCGAUGAUUAUUGAGGUUAAACACCUAUCAUCUAUUAGCCAUGCAGACUUUAAUAACAUUUUUAUACAAGAUUUUGACCAAUUGUAACAUUUCUUUUUAAUUUCAUUAUUUAAAAAUGUGUUUUUUUAUAAGAUUUAUAAUUUUAAUGUACAUGAUACAUACAUUUGUAAACAUCGUGCUAUAUUGUCAAGAAAGGAAAAUCUAAUUUCAACAGAAGAGAUGAAAUAGACAACCUCUCUGCAUUUCUUGAUGCUUAAUUGGUAUUAGCUGACAUUCAUUUGUAUUUGAGAAUUUGAUUUUAAAAAUUAAAAUACAUUACAUACAUGUUUAUAUUUAUAGAAUAACUAAUCGAAGAAUUCAAAUAGAGAAAAACAUUCAACGAGUCAUCGAACACACAGAACAACAC
Molecule: long non-coding RNA, 4433 nt
Filed under: Mytilus galloprovincialis (Mediterranean mussel)
Lineage: Eukaryota; Metazoa; Mollusca; Bivalvia; Mytilida; Mytilidae
Source: RNAcentral